Molecule: long non-coding RNA, 1108 nt
Organism: Tigriopus californicus
Lineage: Eukaryota; Metazoa; Arthropoda; Copepoda; Harpacticoida; Harpacticidae
Exons: 3
Source: RefSeq, a predicted model, not a curated record
GUUGCUAGUUCGUGUUUGCAUUCCAUCAAGGGUUUGACGGUUUUGUUCACUACGCACCACGUACAUCCAAAACAUGGAGGACCUGAGAAAGCCCUCUGUCAGUUUCCACUUUCACUUCAAGCCCACAGUCAAAUAAUGACGGCUUUAGCAAUACCUCCCGCAAAAAGUUUCGCACGGAGACAACGAGCUAGCUCAAGAAGCCACUUGGCAUGAGGAGAUCCGUACGUCGAACACUGUCUUCUUCAUAUACUCGUAUAACAAACAUCCUUUGGGGCUAUUGAAAAACCAUGUUCAAUGAAAAUUCUGCCACUGAGAGCAUGGCUUUUUGAGGACAGGAAGAUGAGCCCCUAUUAAGGACUGUUGCAAAGACACGGUUGCAAAGCCAACGGACGAAACACCUUUUGCGUUUGUAUGUCGAUCAAAGUUCUUCAUGUGCAUACAGUUUGAUGUGAGCAAGAUGAACUUCGGACCAAGAAAUGAGGACGAAAACCAGAGACUGGAAAUCGAUCCCUUAUCCCUUGUGUUACCACACAUGGGGGAGCCACUAAUUGAAACCAGAAGCUCUCUUGACCCAUUUACUGAUCAGGUUGAUUACCCUUUCUGUUCAACUUCACGAUACUCACACAAACAGAGCGUUGUCGUAUUACAGAUUACCUAUCUAUGUACCUACCUAAGCAACCUACCUAGCAAGAUUAUCCAGUACUAGUGAUAUUACUUGGAACAGCAGCCUCUGGAACAUCGAACUAAAUGCAUCGCUGAAGGUGGGAUUGGGUACUACGCUUGUUCGGUUGUUCGGUUGGUCGGUCGGUAAGUAGGUAUGUUGACCAACUUUCUGCACGCAUCAAGAGUUACUGGAACAUUUUGCAUCUAAUGCCCUUUGUCAGAGGAAGGUUCUAGCAUUUGUAGGGAUUCCAAAACAGGCGUCAAUUUGGUUGCCCUUUUACACAAGUUGAUUUUAACCAACUCAAGUAAUGUGCGGCUUCUCUUCCGGAAUCUAUCAUACAUUUUUGUGUGUUUAUCGGCGACAUCACUGCGGACAUAAAUAAUUCAAUGGCUUCAAAAGAGCAGGAAUUGAUACAAGAGAAUACCGUCAUGGGAUAUUUGAGAA